RNAcentral lists this transfer RNA (73 nucleotides) under Loxodonta africana (African savanna elephant). It matches the Rfam family "tRNA". From Rfam's summary of the family: Transfer RNA (tRNA) molecules are approximately 80 nucleotides in length. Their secondary structure includes four short double-helical elements and three loops (D, anti-codon, and T loops). The record is from Rfam by way of RNAcentral. Lineage: Eukaryota; Metazoa; Chordata; Mammalia; Proboscidea; Elephantidae.
GGUUCCAGGGUAUAGUGGUUAGCACAUCUGCUUUACAGGCAUAAGAUCCUGUGUUUGAUCCCCAGUGGAGCCA